UGGCGCGUGUAUAAAUCGCCUUGGCGACAAUGCCGAAGCAAACCGGUGCGGUGCCGCUUUCCAACGUCCACUUGCUUGCUUCCUUCGUUUCUGUCUUGCCCUUUCACAACCGUGAAAAUGCAAACUGAAUUCAGUCUUUAAAUGCUAUAAAAGAAAACUCCGAAUAGACUCUGCCCCCUCCAUCUCUCCCAUUUCUUCCUUUUAAUGGCCGCCUUUCGCUUACUAACCUCGCCUCCGACAUCUGAUCCGUGCCUUUGCUUCUUCCUUUUUACGCCCUCUAUAUCUUUCUCUCUGUCUCCGUAGCCAUGCACUCUCAUUCUCAUCCUCUGAAGCUUACCCAUUUCCAUCGCCUACGCUUUUCCCGGUUGCCGAAACCUGCUCCUCUUUGCGCGCCCUCUCGCAUUCGAUCCGCUUUACUUUUUCCCCAUGAUCUCAAGUUAAAUGCGCCGAUUGUUCAAACAUCUGGGUGCUGCUUACGACGCAGUCUUGUUCGAUUUAAGGCCUUCGAUGGGGAUUCUGUCGACAUACCAUCCCUUGAUGACGGGAGCGACAUGGAUGGGACAGCUGGAUACGUGCUCUCAUCCAGUGAAGGUGAAGAGAGCGACGCAGAAACUAUGCUAUAUCCAGUAGCCGACGAUGAUAUGCCUAAAGUCCUUGUGUCGACUGAUGAGGCCUUUUCAGCGACUGCCCACCGGUUUGCAAUGCUCGGGAGAAGCCGCAGGAAACGCAGGAUUAAACUUGGGGUUUUAAUCAAUAUUGGACUCAUAAUCUUCUUGAUGGUGCUUCUGUUAUUCGUGGAUUGGUGUGCAUGGCGGAUAGUUAGGCUGCCUUUAGAAACCUUUUACUUGACCCGCCCUUUUCUUAUAUCAGCCAUUCUAGUCUCUUGUGCAGGCUAUGUUUGUGUUCCAUUACUGUAUAGGUUCAGAAUUCAUCAAAUAAUCGAAAAAGAAGGGCCUGCUAAGCACUCCUUAAAAAAGAGAACUCCCACAAUGGGUGGAUUAUUUUUUGUUCCUAUAGGUGUAACUGUUGCCGGAUUCAUUGCUGGUUUUUCUUCCACUGAAGUGUCUGGAGCAGCAACAGCAACUCUAGCCUUUGCUGCAAUUGGGCUACUUGCUGAUAUCUUAAGUGUCAGCAAGAAUCAAAAUAGUGGCUUAUCGGCAUGGACAAAAAUUUUGUUGCAGGUAGCUGUUGGGACCUGGUUUUCAUUUUGGUUGGAUACCACGAGUAUAUCGUCACCUUACAGCAUAAAAAUGUUGCUUCCUCUACCGGGACCAGUAGGACUUGUGUACCUGGGAAGAUGUUAUCUAUUGUUGACUUCAUUAAGUUUUGUGUCCAUGGGAAAUGGGGUUAACUUAACAGAUGGUCUCGACGGACUGGCUGGAGGGACUGCUGCAUUGGCUUUUAUAGGAAUGUCAAUCGCAGUGCUUCCAAUAUGUUCUGACCUUGCUAUAUUUGGGGCAUCAAUGGCAGGAGCCUGCGUUGGUUUUCUUUUGCACAACCGAUACAGAGCAUCUGUAUUUAUGGGGGACACUGGCUCCUUGGCACUUGGUGGAGCAUUGGCUGCAAUGGCUGGUUGUACUGGAAUGUUCUUUCCAUUGUUUAUUUCGUCUGGAAUAUUUGUCAUGGAGGCAUCAACAGUUAUCAUACAGGUAUUGUAUUUUUUCAAGACGACCAAAUGUUUGUGGGCAGCUGGGCGCUGUACAUUCCGAAUGGCUCCCCUUCAUCAUCACCUUGAGUUAUGUGGGAUCGAGGAACCAAUCAUUGUCGCAGGCGCAUACGUGAGAGAGAGAGAGAGUGGGCACUUUUUCUUGCUCCCCAAACGGCACAAUCUUAAGCAACAGACAGUGUAGCUUGAAAUAUAGUGAGAGCGUGGGUAUGUGAACAAAUCGAUCUCUUGGUAACGGCCACUUGUGGUCGUACAGAGGUAGAAGGCUGUGUGAAUUUUUAUUUGGUGGCUGCUGAUACUGGAAUGGAUUACAACAAUGACAAAGUUGCUAUCGAGUGCCAUCUGAGAGAGAGAGAGGCUAGAUUUUGUUUGAAAGAGUGGGAGAAAGAUGAAAUACGACAAAGACAGGGAGGGACCAUGCAGGUGGUGCGGUGGCUUCCCUGGUGUAAAUGAUCCUCCUUCACUUUCACAAGGCGGAAUGACGAAAGGAAGAAAAGAAUCAUUCACUUUCACAAGGCGGAAUGACGAAAAGAAGAAAAGAAGUGAAAAUGGAGGAAAGAAUUUGAGGGAAAUAAAACUGAUGGUAGUUGGUUAUGGAAAUAUCCAGAGGAGAGAGAGAGAGAGAGAGUUAUAGUAAAAUAAUAAAAUAAAGAUUUGCUCAUUGUACAAUAACAAUUAAAUUUGGUUUUAUUUUU
This is an RNA transcript of Carya illinoinensis, 2361 nucleotides long. It is a transcript of the gene named phospho-N-acetylmuramoyl-pentapeptide-transferase homolog, with no coding region annotated. Lineage: Eukaryota; Viridiplantae; Streptophyta; Magnoliopsida; Fagales; Juglandaceae. The record is from RefSeq and is a predicted model, not a curated record. The transcript is spliced from 10 exons.